Phacochoerus africanus (Common warthog) is the source of this 834-nucleotide long non-coding RNA. RefSeq lists it as uncharacterized. The transcript has 3 exons. Lineage: Eukaryota; Metazoa; Chordata; Mammalia; Artiodactyla; Suidae. The record is from RefSeq and is a predicted model, not a curated record.
CCGCCCGACGCGCGCACAGUCUCGGGCCGAGCCGCGGUCCCGGCGUGGACGGGUCAGGGCGGACCCUAGUAGGCCCGGAGUUACAGCCAAAGGAGCUUUGGCUCCGCUGAGGGAGGCAGCAAGACCUGGGGCCUGGGAGGCGUCUGAGACCCAGCUCGUUGGCCCAGCCCGGAGCCGGGCAAGAGCCAGAGUGGGCCAGGCGGCGGAAGGCUGGAGUAGCACAAAUUCCGCCCGCCCCCUACCCCUCUUUACGGAGGUCUGAAGGCGGACUGGGACUAGCCCACGGUCGCACUGCUAGUUUACUGCCUUUGACACCGCUCAUCUUGGAGAAGCAAGCCACCUGCCAUGUUGUAACCAGCCCUUUGAGAGUCCCAGGUAAUGGCAAGAUUGCUGCCAGUAGCCAGUGAACAACUGAGGCAUUCUGACCAUGAUGUGAGUGAGCUUAUCUGAACCUGAAAAUAAGAUAAAUGCUGAAGAAAAUUAAACAUUCAAGGCUCCGCUCCUCAGAAUGCCAAAAUGACACUGAAAAACAUUUCUCCAGUCUUUGAACAGGUAAUUAUUUUAGCUCUAAUAAGAAUCUCAUUAGUCUAGAACCAGUAGUCUGUGAUUUACAGUUUUUCUGAGGAGAACACAGAGUGCUUAGCAUGAAGUUCCUGGCAAGUUAAAGCUGAUACUGAAGUGCUUAUGUCAUUAGAAGAAACAACAUUGAAAGUGGGCACCUUUGGACAAGAUGGUAGAGCAGGAGGACUUGAGCUCACUUCCUCUCACGAAAACAAAAUCACAACCAACUGCUGACCAACCAUAAAAAGUGGGUACCUUUGGCUAUGCAUGUUC